Long non-coding RNA from Platichthys flesus (European flounder), 429 nucleotides. RefSeq lists it as uncharacterized. The record is from RefSeq and is a predicted model, not a curated record. NCBI's taxonomy places the organism in Eukaryota, Metazoa, Chordata, Actinopteri, Pleuronectiformes, Pleuronectidae. The transcript has 4 exons.
GAAAUGGCAGAUCAUAAUGUAAGUUUGCUAAUUAAGCUACACUGAGGUGAGUCCCCACAGAGCCACAGCUCCUGAGCCUCACCGGGACACACACACGUGGACACAGGUGAAGACCUCCUCCAAAGCCAGCGGGUGGUGCUCGGGCACCCCUCUACCAGCAUGUUAGUGCUGAGGCCCUGGCCUCGGUAGUGCCCUCGGGCUGUGGGACCGUCUUCCUAUUGCUGUGAUGCCUCAUAAUCCCAAAAGAAUGCCUGGAUUUGAAGGUCUUUCUAAGAAAUGGAACUUACGGAUCACAAGCGUCAAGGAAGGGAAAAUAUCAUGCCAACAACAACCAGGGCAAGAGGAAGCCAAUGCUGAGGUGCCUGAAAUGACCAGCAGAUGACCACUCCACUUGUUACAAAAGGUCAGUGUUUAUAGAAGUCUAUGAUA